Molecule: long non-coding RNA, 845 nt
Organism: Labrus mixtus (cuckoo wrasse)
Lineage: Eukaryota; Metazoa; Chordata; Actinopteri; Labriformes; Labridae
Exons: 3
Source: RefSeq, a predicted model, not a curated record
CCAAGUCCCUGGAAUCAUGUCCAAGUCCUUGAGGUCAGGUCCUAGUCCCUGGAAUCAUGUCAAAGUCCUUGAGGUCAGGUCCUAGUCCCUGAGAUCAUGUCCAAGUCCCUGAGGUAAUUUCAAAGUCCCUGGGGUCAGGUCCUAGUCCCUGAGAUCAUGUCCAAGUCCCUGAGGUCAUUUCAAAGUCCCUGAGGUCAUUUCAAAGUCUCUGAGGUCAGGUCCUAGUCCCUGAGAUCAUGUCCAAGUCCCUGGAAUCAUGUCCAAGUCCUUGAGGUCAGGUCCUAGUCCCUGGAAUCAUGUCAAAGUCCUUGAGGUCAGGUCCUAGUCCCUGAGCUCAGGUCCUAGUCCAUGAGCUCACGUCCAAGUCCCUGAGGUCAUUUCAAAGUCCCUGGGGUCAGGUCCUAGUCCCUGAGAUCAUGUCCAAGUCCCUGAGGUCAUUUCAAAGUCCCUGGGGUCAGGUCCUAGUCCCUGAGAUCAUGUCCAAGUCCCUGAGGUCAUUUCAAAGUCUCUGAGGUCAGGUCCUAGUCCCUGGAAUCAUGUCAAAGUCCUUGAGGUCAGGUCCUAGUCCCUGAGGUCAAAGAGGAACUCCAGUGCUUGCAGAGAUUACUUUCAAGUCAUUUAUGUAAAGUCCAUGAGGCAGCAGGUUGAAUUGAGGAGGACGAGUCAGAAGUUUCUGAUUUUGAACUGAACUGUCUUCAGAUCAGAACCCGACCAAAGACGGUGGAACUUGUUUUCAUCUGGACUCAGAGAAGGAUAGACGCUGAAGUCUCGGAUUGUACCUGAAGGUCUCGUAAAGACAGAUAGUCGCUGAUGUGAAACUUUGUCUUCAAUAAAACAUCAAAAUA